This is an RNA transcript of Drosophila albomicans, 697 nucleotides long. RefSeq lists it as uncharacterized. Lineage: Eukaryota; Metazoa; Arthropoda; Insecta; Diptera; Drosophilidae. The record is from RefSeq and is a predicted model, not a curated record. The transcript is spliced from 2 exons.
GUGAGGGGAAAAACAAUGUCGCUAUUAUUGGCAUGUAAGAUGUUCAUAGAUAAUUCUACCACAUUUUGCUUUCUAUAAAUGCAACAGAAAGUUACAAUUUGUUUUGGUGGCUGCGGCCAUCACGAGACCCAUUUGGCAUCCACAACUGCGUACGUGUGUGCCUCAAUGUCCAUGUGUAUGUGUGUCUAAAAUCAUUCGAAGCAACAACGUUGACGAAGCGCACAGCAAAUAAGGUGCAAAGCAAAAGCAACAAGUCAGAAUGCCACGCGGAAGCUACAGAGCCCAACAGGAGAGAGCGAGAGAGAACUAGAGCCCACAAGAGCCAAGAGCAGAUCGAGCAGACGCGAAACGAACGCGAGCAAAAGAGAGGUAGCGAGACAAAAAGAGUACGCGUCUCUCUUCUUGCGCGUGCGUCGAGUGUCAAGUGUGAAGAAAAGGCCGCAAGCAAACAAGAACAACAACAACAACAAUCAUAGCAAGCAAACGCAAGCAGCUUUCGGCGAAAAACAACAACAACAACUAGAAGCAUUGCGCUUACGGCAUUUGUUAUGAAAUCAUUACAAAACAAACGUAGCAAAAUUAAUAAAAAUACAUUAAACACAAAACUAUGGCAAUAAACUUUAGUCAAUCAGCAACAACUAAAACAAAAAAAAAAGAACUUCACCUUAAUAUUUCCAACAAACACACUUUCGUAAUU